AACAUAGAUUCUCUAAGAGAGCAGCUUGUUUCGGAGGUCCGAACCAGGUUUUCAAUUUUUUAAAAGAAGAACGUGGGAUUAAAGAUGGCUUUUGCCAACAGUUUAAAGACGAAAGGAUGGACUUUACAGCUGUGAGGAUGGCAACAGAUGGACAUUUGCAAGCUCUUUGUUCGGUUUGUGGGGGCGACAUACUUGCGCUGAGAUAACCCUUGCACUUUGAAGGCACCAUACAUGAUGACGACUUUGCGGGUGAUAAAAGUUUCAUGUAUGGGAAAUCUACAGCAAACCAAAGAAUUGAAGCAUGGUGGGGACGUUUAAGGCAAGGAUGUGCAGAAUGGAGGAUUACAUUUUUUAAGGACUUGAGAAAUUCUGGUUUAUAUCACGAUGAUGAUAUAAUACACCGCGAAUGCCUGAAGUUCUGUUUCAUGGAUGUCAUACAAAGUGAACUAAACAGAGCUGCACUAGUGUGGAAUGUUCACCGAAUUCGGCCGUCUAGCAAUGUGGAAUCUCCGUUGGGAAAGCCAGAUGUACUCUACUUCAUUCCGGCAACAGCUGAGAGUCAAGAUUAUAUGACUCCCGUUGACAUUGACGAAAUCGAAAUCGCACAGGAUACAUGUGCCGAGCAACCACAAGCGAAAGGAUGUCCUUACUUUAAAGAGCUCUGCGAUCUAAUCAUGGAGGAUGAAGGUCUAGAACCAGCUACAACAGCAGAGGAAGCUCUCCAACUCUACUUUGAUUUACUGGAACAUAUUUAAUGCCAUAC
Stylophora pistillata is the source of this 763-nucleotide long non-coding RNA. The record is from RefSeq and is a predicted model, not a curated record. NCBI's taxonomy places the organism in Eukaryota, Metazoa, Cnidaria, Anthozoa, Scleractinia, Pocilloporidae.